RNAcentral lists this ribosomal RNA (467 nucleotides) under uncultured bacterium. RNAcentral's name for it is "partial 16S ribosomal RNA". It matches the Rfam family "Bacterial small subunit ribosomal RNA", at positions 28 to 507 of the family's 1533-position model. The record is from RNAcentral.
GACGAACGCUGGCGGCGUGCUUAACACAUGCAAGUCGAACGGAAAGGCCUCUUUCGGGGGGUACUCGAGUGGCGAACGGGUGAGUAACACGUGAGUAACCUGCCCUUGACUUUGGGAUAACUUCAGGAAACUGGGGCUAAUAACGGAUAGGAGCUCCUGCUGCAUGGUGGGGGUUGGAAAGUUUCGGCGGUUGGGGAUGGACUCGCGGCUUAUCAGCUUGUUGGUGGGGUAGUGGCUUACCAAGGCUUUGACGGGUAGCCGGCCUGAGAGGGUGACCGGCCACAUUGGGACUGAGUUACGGCCCAGACUCCUACGGGAGGCAGCAGUGGGGAAUAUUGCACAAUGGGUGGAAGCCUGAUGCAGCAACGCCGUGUGCGGGAUGACGGCCUUCGGGUUGUAAACCGCUUUCGCUCAUGACGAAGCUUUGUGUGACGGUAGUGGGUAAAGAAGCACCGGCUAACUACGUG